CGAAUUAGUGAUUAUACAAUUAAGUCGGUGAAUUAUCAAGUUCCUUAUCUUAGGACUUACAGUACGAGGAGCAUCUCGAAGUUGGAGCACGAAGAACUGGGAGACGGGAUGAUGAUGAUUUGAUUCUUGAGUAGGACUUCCUUCA
Bombyx mori (domestic silkworm) is the source of this 145-nucleotide non-coding RNA. Lineage: Eukaryota; Metazoa; Arthropoda; Insecta; Lepidoptera; Bombycidae. The record is from RefSeq and is marked provisional.